RNAcentral lists this ribosomal RNA (253 nucleotides) under uncultured bacterium. RNAcentral's name for it is "partial 16S ribosomal RNA". It matches the Rfam family "Bacterial small subunit ribosomal RNA", at positions 524 to 776 of the family's 1533-position model. The record is from RNAcentral.
UACGUAGGGGGCUAGCGUUGUCCGGAAUCAUUGGGCGUAAAGCGCGUGUAGGCGGCUCGGUAAGUCCGCUGUGAAAGUCGGGGGCUCAACCCUCGGAUGCCGGUGGAUACUGUCGGGCUUGAGUACGGAAGAGGCGAGUGGAAUUCCUGGUGUAGCGGUGAAAUGCGCAGAUAUCAGGAGGAACACCGGUGGUGAAGGCGGGUCUCUGGGCCGAUACUGACGCUGAGGAGCGAAAGCGUGGGGAGCGAACAGG